AAUGAACGCUGGCGGCAUGCCUAACACAUGCAAGUCGAACGGGAACAGGAAGACGCUUGCUUCUUUGCUGACGAGUGGCGGGCGGGCGAGUCAUGUCUGGGAAACUGCUUGAUGGAGGGGGUUAACUACUGGAAACGGGAGCUAAUACCGCAUAUCGAUGCAAGACCAAAGAGCGGGACUUUCGGGCCUCUUUCCAUCGGCUGAGCGCAGAUGGGAUGAGCUAGUAGGUGGGGUAACGGCUGACCGAGGCGACGAUCCCUAGCUGGUCUGAGAGGGUGACCGGCCACACUGGAAGUGAGACACGGUCCCGACUCCUACGGGAGGAAGCAGUGGGGAAUAUUGCGCAAUGGGCGAAAGCCUGAUGCAGCAAUGCCGCGUGUAUGAUGAAGGCCUUCGGGUUGUAAAGUGCUUUCAGCGGGGAGGAAGGAAGUAAAGUUUAUACCUGUGCUCAUUGACGUUACCCGCAGAAGAAGCACCGGCUAACUCCGUG
RNAcentral lists this ribosomal RNA (490 nucleotides) under uncultured bacterium. RNAcentral's name for it is "partial 16S ribosomal RNA". It matches the Rfam family "Bacterial small subunit ribosomal RNA", at positions 29 to 507 of the family's 1533-position model. The record is from RNAcentral.